Anolis carolinensis (green anole) is the source of this 1207-nucleotide long non-coding RNA. RefSeq lists it as uncharacterized. The transcript is spliced from 2 exons. The record is from RefSeq and is a predicted model, not a curated record. NCBI's taxonomy places the organism in Eukaryota, Metazoa, Chordata, Lepidosauria, Squamata, Anolidae.
UCAGACGCCAAUUAGCGAACAAAAAUAGAGUUUAUUCAGCAGAUAAGCCAAAAAGUAAUGUUAACACAGAAAAAACCUUGAAACACUUCACUAUCAGUGCUUCAAGAGCAGUUCAAACAAAAAUGUAAUUCAGCAACACAAGCAGGUAAAAACAAAGCUAAACAAACUUAGUGCAAACUGCGCUUUCUGAGUCCAAGCCCUGCUAGCCGGCUCUGUAGUUUUCAAAGGAACAGUUCCCAAAAGAAAACACCAAAUUGGUCAGGAAACAAACAAACAAACUAAGAAUGCAGUAGACUGCUUCCACAAUGUGGAUAAAGCCGAAGGCUCCAAAAGGAUGGUGAAAAGACGUCGUCCGGGAUUCCAAGGUCAGGUCAGGAGAUAACAGCGGUGUCCAAAGAGCAAGCCAGGAGUCAAAAGCCGAUAGUAGUCAUCAAUCACAGGGCGAAGGCAGUAGCAAGGUCAAAUUCCGAUCCAAGGUCUGAAGAGGGUGCAGUCAUCCAAAACAGGUCCACGAUAAGACACAGCGAGAGCCAAGCUAGGUGAUAACAGCAGAUUCAAAUCAUAGUCCAAGUCCAGUCUUCAUGGAAACACAGAGAUCCCAAUGGCGCCUCAGCAACACCUUGCCACACGCAAAGUGUUGCUGAGGCGCCAUUGGGAUCUCUGUGUUUCCAUGAAGACUGGACUUGGACUAUGAUUUGAAUCUGCUGAUAUCACCUAGCUUGGCUCUCGCUGUCUUAUUGUGGACCUGUUUUGGAUGACUGCACCCUCUUCGGACUUUGGAUUGAAUUUGACCUGGCUUCUGUCUACACCCUCUGACUGACGGCUACUCCCGGCUUCUGACUAUUGGUUUGUCUUUCGGAAUUUCUGCUGCCUCCUGACCUGACCUUGGAUUCUUCUGAUGACGGCUAUUCAUCAUCCCUUUGAGGCUUUCGGCUUAUCUGCACCGUGGAAGCAGCUUUAUUGCUUUUCUAGUUUGUUUAUUUUCCAGCAAUUAACUCUAUUUGUUUUCCAAAGCUGAAUUGAAGCGUUAUUUAGUUUUUUAUUGAAUGCCAGCAUGGGAAAUUAGCGUGGCUCGUUUUUGAGUUAUUAUUGUCCAAUCUACUCUCGAAACACUGAAAAGUGAAGUGUUUCAAGGAUAUUUCCUGUGUUUAUGUUAUUUUCUGGCUUAUCUUCGGAAUAAACUCUGUUUUGUAUGUUAACUGGCGUC